GUAUACAGCUGUGUACUUCCCUCAGCUCUAAUUGGUAGAUAAAGGCAGGCAGCUAGGCUCUGACCACUAACCACUCAAGGACAACAGUGUUAUUCUAAGAAAACUGCCUUCACAGUAGGAAAGCUUCAGAUUCAGAAUCUUAAAAUUGAAGAAAUCAUGGUGGAAACUGUCCUGGCACCAUGGACAAUAUUCUUGGUCAUCUCCGCUGCAGUGCUCAUAAUGAGCUUUUUGAUGUUUCUUCCCCCUGCUGCUGUGGUGAUCUGGAGAAUGAAGUAUAUGCCUCAAAUAACUUUGAAUGGAGCUGUAUAACUAGGCCUCAUGGAUGAUAUAAUUCCAUGGGUCCCAUCAAAGACUCUAAAACCAAGCAAUGAAAAUGUCUCAUAGAUAGCAAUUAUUGCUUGAGAUCCAUCAUGAGACUAAGCUUUUCCAAAGUCUAUAACUGCUGAAAUCCUGCAGGAUACUGCAUCUAAUUAAUACAAAUUUAAUAUGGCUUCUACUACUCUACCUUCAUCUUAUUGGCUGGGGGCUGGCAUGGCACAGGUGCUAAGGUAUACAGUUGAAUCUGCAAAUUCUGAUAAAUACUUUGUCACAAGAACAUGAGAAAAGAAAGGAAAGGACCUCAUUGGCUGUUAUCAUCACUUGUUUGUUUCCUGGACUGAGUUUCUCUUUAUGACCAUCCCUGAGAAAAUACGACUAGAGAAAAGCAAGUGUAUAAUGCAGUGAUCUCUAACUGCCCUUAAGUAAAUGCUCUUGCCUCUAAAUGCUGCUUGCCUUUUCCUACUUAUGAAUAGGCACUUGCGAAUAGUAGCAGCAAAUUGUCUUACUUUUAAAACAUGAAAACUAUAAAGGUCUGAAAAGUUCAAGGCAAAUGGUACACACUAAGAAGUAUUAUUUAUCACAAUCUAACAAAAGCUUUAAAAGGGAGUGAUGCAAUAGAAAGUAUAUUGUGGUACUGCUGUUAAUCAACCAUUAGUCUUGCACCUGGAUGAUUUGAAAACUUGUUCAUGGUCUAGAACAUUUGUUUUUCUUGUCUGCUUUUUUUGCAAAUUCUAACGGUCAGAACACAAAGCUAUCCCCAGCCCUUGGCUAGAAUAUUGGUUUGAUUUAUAUGCUCUGGUGCUCAAAUAUACCAAUGUAAACAUCGACUAUGACAAGUUAAUACAAACAUACUGCAGGUGUUUUCCCUGAAAUAUACUAUAUGAAUGUACUGGAGGAAAUGGUGAGAUGUAUUUAAAACUAAAGGAAAUUUAAAUAAACAUGAUUGAUUACUUUGUGCGCCA
Alligator mississippiensis (American alligator) is the source of this 1280-nucleotide long non-coding RNA. RefSeq lists it as uncharacterized. NCBI's taxonomy places the organism in Eukaryota, Metazoa, Chordata, Crocodylia, Alligatoridae. The transcript has 2 exons. The record is from RefSeq and is a predicted model, not a curated record.